Podarcis lilfordi (Lilford's wall lizard) is the source of this 70-nucleotide non-coding RNA. Lineage: Eukaryota; Metazoa; Chordata; Lepidosauria; Squamata; Lacertidae. The record is from the annotation of a GenBank genome assembly.
GCCAUUGCUCAGGGGUAGAGCAUUUGCUUUGCAUGCAGAAGGUCCUGGGUACAAGUCCCUGGUAUCUCCA